Anas platyrhynchos (mallard) is the source of this 816-nucleotide long non-coding RNA. RefSeq lists it as uncharacterized. The record is from RefSeq and is a predicted model, not a curated record. NCBI's taxonomy places the organism in Eukaryota, Metazoa, Chordata, Aves, Anseriformes, Anatidae.
CUGCCUCUUACCCUGACUCAGCCCACAUUGCCAUCUUUGCCCAUGAUACUACACUUUCUGCCCCAAUCCCCAUUUCAUUCACGGAGUCUUCGAGAAGAGCUGUGGUUUGUAGCUUAGUUCUUGCAAUGAAAACCUGAAGGGUAUCUUGAAGGUCUUGGAUUCAGCAAAGACUAAGGGUAAGCAAGCUCAGUUUUCUGAUUUUGAUUCUUCAAGCCCACUGCCUAAAUCUUUGGAUUACUGGACCUACAAUUGCUCCCUGACUCAUCCUCCCCUCCAUGAGAAUGUAAUCUGGAUUAUCCUUGAAGAGCCUAUUCCUACCGGCUCAGAGCAGGUUCAGCAUGGGCAUGAGACCUGUGGUUUCGAUCAGUUGGAGACAUUUGCACAUGUGAAGAAGGGUGACAGAAGGUGGGCAGCUGGAUCUACUGGUUCAUCUCAAGCUCAUCUCCAACAUAAAUGACUACACCCUAUUUCUUUUUGUGCAACUCCUCUGGAAAAUUACUUUAAUAAAAUACAUGUGAAAAUAUUAAGUAGGAACAACUGUGAAAAUCAAAUGGAUCUACUUACGACAACCAAGAAAAUGAAUAAGCAAUUCAUAGUCUAUGAAACUGUAAGGCAACGGAAAUGUCCUUGAUUUGAUCAAGGAAAGGCAAACUCAUUUCAUAGUAUCUCUAGACUUUGACUACCAGUGAAGCAGAGCUGUCUUAUCUUUAGAACAAAGAAAGAGAACAAAAUUCAAACAGGAUUAUAUUUUAAGACAUAAAACUAUCACUCUGUUGACAACUACUGAUACCUGCUGUCAAUAUAAAAGAGGGAAAG